GAUGAACGCUGGCGGCGUGCCUAAUACAUGCAAGUCGAACGAGGCCCUUUGUAUUCGUAUGAAGGUGUCCUAGUGGCGAACGGGUGAGUAACACGUAGGUAACCUACCCCGAAGAGGGGGAUAACCUCGGGAAACUGAGGCUAAUACCCCAUGUGCUCCACGGUAUUAGAUGACCAUGGAGUAAAGGAGUAAUCCGCUUUGGGAGGGGCCUGCGGCCCAUCAGCUAGUUGGUAGGGUAAUGGCCUACCAAGGCUAUGACGGGUAGGGGGCCUGAGAGGGUGGUCCCCCACACUGACACUGAAACACGGGUCAGACACCUACGGGUGGCAGCAGUAGGGAAUAUUGCACAAUGGGCGAAAGCCUGAUGCAGCAACGCCGCGUGCGCGAUGAAGGCCUUCGGGUUGUAAAGCGCUUUUCUGGGGGAAGAGUAAGGACGGUACCCCAGGAAUAAGUCUCGGCUAACUACGUG
RNAcentral lists this ribosomal RNA (469 nucleotides) under uncultured bacterium. Its description in RNAcentral is "bacterial SSU rRNA". It matches the Rfam family "Bacterial small subunit ribosomal RNA", at positions 28 to 507 of the family's 1533-position model. The record is from RNAcentral.